Molecule: ribosomal RNA, 497 nt
Filed under: uncultured soil bacterium
Lineage: Bacteria
Description: bacterial SSU rRNA
Rfam family: Bacterial small subunit ribosomal RNA
Source: RNAcentral
AGAUUGAACGCUGGCGGCAGGCCUAACACAUGCAAGUCGAGCGGUAGAGAGGUGCUUGCACCUCUUGAGAGCGGCGGACGGGUGAGUAAUGCCUAGGAAUCUGCCUAGUGGUGGGGGAUAACGUUCGGAAACGGACGCUAAUACCGCAUACGUCCUACGGGAGAAAGCGGGGGACCUUCGGGCCUCGCGCCAUUAGAUGAGCCUAGGUCGGAUUAGCUAGUUGGUGAGGUAAUGGCUCACCAAGGCGACGAUCCGUAACUGGUCUGAGAGGAUGAUCAGUCACACUGGAACUGAGACACGGUCCAGACUCCUACGGGAGGCAGCAGUGGGGAAUAUUGGACAAUGGGCGAAAGCCUGAUCCAGCCAUGCCGCGUGUGUGAAGAAGGUCUUCGGAUUGUAAAAGCACUUUAAGUUGGAGGAAGGUUGUAACUUAAUACGUUGCAACUUUGACGUUACCGACAGAAUAAGCACGCUAACUCGUGCCAGCAGCCGCGUAA